This 492-nucleotide ribosomal RNA is filed under the name uncultured bacterium. RNAcentral describes it as "partial 16S ribosomal RNA". It matches the Rfam family "Bacterial small subunit ribosomal RNA", at positions 29 to 507 of the family's 1533-position model. The record is from RNAcentral.
AGUGAACGCUGGCGGUAGGCCUAACACAUGCAAGUCGAACGGCAGCACAGUAAGAGCUUGCUCUUACGGGUGGCGAGUGGCGGAAGGGUGAGGAAUACAUCGGAAUCUACUUUUUCGUGGGGGAUAACGUAGGGAAACUUACGCUAAUACCGCAUACGACCUACGGGUGAAAGCAGGGGAUCUUCGGACCUUGCGCGAUUGAAUGAGCCGAUGUCGGAUUAGCUAGUUGGCGGGGUAAAGGCCCACCAAGGCGACGAUCCGUAGCUGGUCUGAGAGGAUGAUCAGCCACACGAGAACUGAGACACGGUCCAGACUCCUGCGGGAGGCAGCAGUGGGGAAUAUUGGACAAUGGGCGCAAGCCUGAUCCAGCCAUACCGCGUGGGUGGAGAAGGCCUUCGGGUUGUAAAGCCCUUUUGUUGGGAAAGAAAAGCAGCAGGUUAAUACCCCGCUGUUCUGACGGUACCCAAAGAAUAGGCACCGGCUAACUUCGUG